UACGGGGGGAGCAAGCGUUGUUCGGAUUUACUGGGCGUAAAGGGCGCGUAGGCGGCCACCGCAAGUCAAUUGUGAAAUCUCCGGGCUUAACUCGGAAAGGUCAACUGAUACUGCGGGGCUAGAGUGCGGAAGGGGCAACUGGAAUUCUCGGUGUAGCGGUGGAAUGCGUAGAUAUCAGGAAGAACACCGGUGGCGAAGGCGGCUUGCUGGGCCAAUACUGACACUCAUCCGCGAAAGCGUGGGGAGCAAACAGG
RNAcentral lists this ribosomal RNA (254 nucleotides) under uncultured bacterium. Its description in RNAcentral is "partial 16S ribosomal RNA". It matches the Rfam family "Bacterial small subunit ribosomal RNA", at positions 524 to 776 of the family's 1533-position model. The record is from RNAcentral.